CGAAUGAAGAGGAGAGCUCAAAUUGAUCAGCGUCUGCGUCGAAUGUAUCUAGAGAAGUGUUCCCGUGACGGACCGUGCACAAGUCUCCUGAAUGAGCGUCAUAGAGGGUGAGAAUCCGUAUAUGGCAUGGACUGCCGUUGCUCUGUGAUACACUCUCGACGAGUCGAGUUGUUUGGGAAUGCAGCUCUAAAUGGGUGGUAAAUGCCAUCUAAAGCUAAAUAUUGGCGAGAGACCGAUAGCGAACAAGUACCGUGAGGGAAAGAUGAAAAGCACUUUGGAAAGAGAGUGAAACAGUACGUGAAAUUGUUGAAAGGGAAACGCUUGAAGUCAGUCGCGCCGUUCGGGAUUCAGCCUUGCUUCUGCUCGGUUUACUUCCUGUUGGGUGGGUCAACAUCAGUUUUGGUCGGAGGAGAAAGGCUUGGGGAAUGUGGCAGCAUUCGUGCUGUGUUAUAGCCCCUCGUUGUAUACUUCGGCUGGGACUGAGGACCGCAGCACGCCUUUGGCCGGGGUUCGCCCACGUACGUGCUUAGGAUGUUGGCA
This 540-nucleotide ribosomal RNA is filed under the name Sebacina sp. Seb23L. Its description in RNAcentral is "eukaryotic LSU rRNA". It matches the Rfam family "Eukaryotic large subunit ribosomal RNA", at positions 90 to 631 of the family's 3401-position model. The record is from RNAcentral. Lineage: Eukaryota; Fungi; Basidiomycota; Agaricomycetes; Sebacinales; Sebacinaceae.